Molecule: long non-coding RNA, 1118 nt
Filed under: Gallus gallus (chicken)
Lineage: Eukaryota; Metazoa; Chordata; Aves; Galliformes; Phasianidae
Source: RNAcentral
AGCUGAGCUGCGAGCCUAUAGGGCUGAGCUGUGCAUCUGUGGGGCUGAGCUGUGCGUCUGUGGGGCUGAGCUGUGAGCCUAUGUGAUUGAAUCUAUGGGGUCUAUGAGCUGUGCUGUGAGCCCAUGGGGCCAUGAACAGUCUAUGGGGCUGUGCUGGGCUGCGAGAUUAUGGGGCUGUGCACUGUGAGUCUAUGGGGCUGUGCUGCACGCUUAUGGGGCCGAAUGCUGUGAGCCUGUGGGGCUGCGCUGUGAGCCCAUAGGGCUGUGCGCUGUGAGUCUAUGGGGCUGUGCUGUGAGUCUAUAGGGCCACGCACUAUGAACUUUUGGGGCUGUGCUGUGAGCCCGUAGGGCCGUGCACUGUGAGUUUAUAGGGCUGUGCACUGUGAGUCUAUAGGGCUGUGCUGUGAGCCUGUGGGGCCAUGUGCUGCGAAUCUAUAGGGCUAUAGAGUGAGCCUAUGGGGUGUGCUCUGAGCCCAUGGGGCCGUGCACUGUAAGUCUAUAGGGCCGUGCACUGUGAGCCUAUAGGGCCAUGCACUGUGAGUCUAUAGGGCUAUGGGGCAAUGCUGUGAGCGAGGUGUGGGGCAGAAUAGGACUGCGGGAUCCCUGGAAGGAUUUUGCUGCCACGUGGCCUCCGUGCUGCCCUGGAUCCUCAGCUGCCGGCAGCUGCCAGCCCGGACCUAUUGGCCACCACAGCUGCCGUUCCCAAACCCCGUUUGACUUUCUGGCCCCAUAGAGCCGUCCCUGGGAAUACUCACAACAGCGCCGGGGGGGCCGGGAGCGCCUCUCUCUCCGGGUUUGCCGGGCUCACCCUGCGAGGAAGAGAGUGGGGUGAGGUGUGCGUCAAAACCACAGCGCCCCCAUACAUGGAUGGACCCCCCCAUACACAUAUAGGGACACCGCCCCUGAGCCCCCCCCACACACACACCGUGGGGCUCUGUGAGCCUGUGUGGGGCCACGUGCUGCCAACCUAUAGGGCUCCGCGAGAGCCUCGCGCCACACAUCUGACAUGAAGCCCCCCACGCAGCCCCCCCUCCUCCCACCCCCCACCCCCCUUUUUGAGCACCCCAUCCAUGUGCACUCACCGCAGCGCCUUUGGGACCGGGGAAACCCAUCACACC